Lynx canadensis (Canada lynx) is the source of this 4509-nucleotide long non-coding RNA. RefSeq lists it as uncharacterized. NCBI's taxonomy places the organism in Eukaryota, Metazoa, Chordata, Mammalia, Carnivora, Felidae. The record is from RefSeq and is a predicted model, not a curated record. The transcript has 2 exons.
AAUGUGCAUAAAAUCAUCUAUGAAAUUAGAAAUGUUAUUUUAAGUGAAAGAUGUAGUAAAAUGGGCAUUCUCUAGUACUAGAGGUACUAUGAAUUAAUACAAUACUUUAAAGAGGAAUUUUAUUUUAAAAAUGUGUUUAAACUUCAUUCUCUUUAACUCAGUAAUCAAACUUUUUAAAGCUUCAUCAUAAGAAAUGAUCUGAAAUAUUGAGAAAACUGUACGAAUGAAAAGUUUUUAUUGCAGUGACAUUUAUAUAAGUUAAAACUUAGAAGAGGCCUAAAUCUUCAGCACAAGGGGGUAGCCCGUCAAAUAGUCUUUUAAAAUAAUGCUUAUAAAGACUAUCUAGCAAUGUGGAAUGAUACUCAUCUUUAUUUCAGAAGAAACCUCGCCCACUAUCACUCUCUUCCUGAAGAGCUAACUGCUAUGAGGCACAUACUCAUAGAUAUUCACUAAGUAUAGCAAAUCAAAAUACCUAACGAUGUUGCGUUAUCGCCAUACAACCAUCCUAUUCCAAACAUACUGUUUGGGCACACCCCACUGUGACUGACAGAAUCACCCAAACCAAAUCACUCAAGUCUACUCUAUACACCUCCUGUUCACUCCUACUGUCUAGCAAACAGAAGCCUAUUUAAUUUAAUGGCUAGCAUCGUGGGGGAAUUCAUUUAAGGAAAAAAUACACUAUGUAAAAUUAUAUGCUAUAAUAAACUUCACUAAAAUGAGUAUGUGUGCACACACAUGCAUACGUAUACACAGACUUGGAGGCCGUAUCGUGGUAAUAGCGGUUAUGUUCCAGUGGGAGAUUAUUUUUCUUAGUUCUAAGUUUGUAAAAAAAAAAAAAAAAAAAAACACAACUAUACUUUGAAAUUCAAUUCCAGUGAGAUGCCAGGAAACCGGUAUGAUCAUAUACAUUCAUUAUGGCAUCGUAAAAUGACCCAAUUCUUGUGAACAGCAACAUGUGAUACAUGUCAAAAUCCAUAAAUUUGUUUAUACCUUUUACCUAAAAACUCCUACCCUGGGAAUUUAUCAUAAGGAACCAAUACAAACGAAAAAAAGCAAAAAGACUGUAGUAUUUAAAAACUUAAAGGUGUCUGAAAGUAAAAGAAUGACUAAGAAAAUUAAGGUUACGUUCUUAAAAAAUAGUAGAUAUAAAAUGCAUAGAAAAAAGGAAAACACACAACAUAGAAAAAAGGAAAUGUUAAGCUAAAAAAGCAGAACACAAAUAAUGUUGAAUAAACAGAGUAAAAGAAAAUUGUAUUAAUUAUUUUAACUAAGCAAAUAUUCUCUUCGCCACUACAAAAGUGAUGCGUGCGCUGAAAAGUAAGGAAAACUGUUACGUUAAAUCACGGAAAGUGCUUUCAUUUUGAAAGUGAGUAUCCUCUGAUGGGGCUGUGAAGAUCAGGUUUAAAAACGAAAACAUGGAAGGAAAGUAGAUACUAAGGGAUAAUAAUUUCACAUUUUAAAAAAGGAAAUCUAGUUUCAGAAAAGAUAACAUAAGGCUUCUGCUAAAUGAUAAAAGGAAUUCUUCUCUGGAUACAAAAGUUUCCUUAAGGAAAAUAAAUAUUAAAUAUGUUCAUAGGUGACUGCUCCAACAAAGUUGCACGGAAGCGAAAUUAUUAACACAGUUGUUAUUUUUCUUUCUAAAACAAGCCAGCAAUGGUUUUAAGUUGUAUGGUUUUUCUUAAGACUUUGAAAAUGUUUUUUGGCAUUUAAUUGGAUAUUCAUUAACGCUAACAGAAAAGGAAAUAGUGCCACCUACUGAACUUUCGCAUUAAAAAAAAGAAAUCAGUAUUCUUUAGGCUGUGGAACUUGCGGUCUGCAGCAAGAAUAAAAUGGAUGAUAAUUAAAUAUUGCCCAGUAUAUUUGAACAUUACUUUUUACUACUAAUACUUGAUAAAAAAUGAAUUAUAAGUUUAAAUUCGUCUGAUUGCCCGGACGAGAAAUAAUUAAUGAGUGCUGAUUGUGCACAUGGCAGUGUAUUAGCACAAACAGCAACAAUUAAACAACACUAUCACAUAACAUCACAGUGCUCAUGACAAAAAAAAAAAAAAAAAGAGGGAAAUUACUGCUGUAAGAUUAGACGCAAAUAACUACAGUCAAAUAUUAUCUAAAAUGAGAUUCUCGAAUACGUCUAAGGGUUAGAAAACGUUGAUUCAAAGUUACUAAACGUAGAUCCGUAAAACUAAAGUGUUAUCGCUAAAAACCAAUGCAAGAGACACACAGAAGUGUGAAAGAUCACGGCAGAGAUCUGGCCCAUACACACUGCAUAUCCGCAGGUGUCAUUCUCUUCCCCUCAAAGCUAAUGAUCGGAUGAAAUGUCCAGUUAUGCUACGGCCUUCAGGGUCAGUGACUCCACGCCAGCCGGAACAAGCUCUCCCUGCAGCAGAACGUAGGGAAGCCCCCCAGGCAGAGGGGAGCCGCGCCUGCUCUCGCCACAGCACUCCACACGCCCGGCCGGGGUUCCCACGCUACACAGAACGAGGGUGGACGCCGUCACAAAUGUGACUGCACUACAAGUGUUUUCUUUUUCUGGAUAUAACGGCGUGACCACCAUUUUGCUUGGCGCUGAGAUCUUCAGGAAAGCGGGUUCGAAGAUCUUAUUGAAGACCUACCAUAGGAGGUAUGCUGAAUCCAUCAACAGACCACCUAGAAGACUCUCACAGACCAGCUGAUCUAGUCACCGCACUCAGAACCCAACAACGACUCCGGCAGAAGAUGCUAUUUUCAGACGCUGCUCAGCACACCAGAACAGGGAGCAAAAAGUACGUUACUCAUGUGAAUCUGCAAGUGUGUAUGGCAAGCGGAGGAGAGAAUGUUCUUGGAUAAAACACAGGUACCGGCCAUCAGAACUGUAACAGUCCAAGCGCAGUGUGCAUUUAAAAAACACUUUCAAAGCGGUCUCAUUUCUAAACAUCGAACUGGAUACAGCAGGCAAAAACUCCUUCCGUAUCAUCUCCUCCUGCAUCAUCUCCGUGCCACGGUCCACUCGCUCCUCAGCCAGGCAUCCACCCCGGCCCAGCUCUCAGGUGUGCAUUCCCUCGGCCCCUAAGCCCAUGGUGAACACCAUUCUAGAUUUAUCCUGAUUGCAGACUUACUUCACAAAUGUGGAUCGGAUUUCACCUACAAACUGCUUAAGAGUCAGGAAGGUGAAAUGGGAAGAGAGCUCACACUGCUGCGUCUGUGUCUCACGUCCGAUUCUAUACAAAUGACUCACAGAACCUGUCACUUAAUCCUCACGAGCGUCCACGAGGUAGAUAUUCCUAAGCCUAUUUUACAGAUGAUGAACGGAAAGUUCCGAAAGGCACGGCGACCUGGUAAGACGAUAAACUCAAUGAGCAUCUGGGUGGCUCCCCGGGGCCCACGAUGUCUGUACCAGCACCUGUCCCUACCCCUCACCAGAGCACCCCCACCGCGGCAGGCAGACAAGACGCUCCAAUGCUUCUCCGCCACGAGCCAAGUCGAAGGGUCAGUAAGUGGGUCGUCUCCUGACAGUACUUCGCUAAUGAUAUUUUACGACCAAAGUCUGGCCUGUCUGUGGCUCUCAAGGAAAACAAACAACCUGGUGGACAAGCAUUAUCAUCCCAGGUGUGAUAAUAACGAUCCCACCCUCUGCACCGCGAACCAGAAUACGAGGGGCUUUCUAACAGGCUGUACCCGUGGGGAAAAGAAAGAUUUCAGAUUGUAAAUGAUUUAUUAAAUUGACUUGGGAGGCUAAAUUAAAAAAUGGUAACUCUAGGACUGCAUUUUAUAUCCCUUCCCUGAACGGGAGGAAAAGGUUUGAUAAGCAUCUUAUUGUCCUGCCCGUCACUUAUUGCAACCUUACGAACCAUAUGCAUACCUUAUGAAUCAGCAGUAUUUCUGCUCCUUGGAGAAUGUGUAAUUGUUGUUAGCUGAAAAGGGAGUGUUCAAGGCUUAUGCUAUUUCUUUUUAAAAUGUUUAUAAUUUCUUUUGCCUAAAACUUCAAAUGAAGUAAGAUUCUCUUCUUGCUUCAAAUGAUCCAGGAGAGAAACUCAAAAAUUUACUGCAGUAAUUUCAGAUCGAAGUCAGUAUCUAAAAUCCCUAACCACGAAUUUCCUUGUGUAUCCUUUGCAUGCUAUGAAAAUAAAACAAGUGGGACUAAGUACUUAAGAGUUGACUGUUAUCAAAGUUCAGAGCUUAAUUUUCAGUAGUGAGCUUGAUAGGACUUAUUACAUUAUUAAAAAUGACUCAGUAACUCUCUAAGUGAAUAAACGCAGGUUCUGCACGGACCAACGAAGAGCCUGAAUCAUGGAUUAAGAUAAAUCAAACGCCCAUCUGAGUCCACAUUCUGUAAAAGGCCAGAAGAAACAUUAAGCGAUUUAUUAAAUAGGAGGUAUAAGACGAGACCGAAAGAUACGUAAACCACAAAAUGGAUUUAGAAAGCUCCAAAAGGCACAGAGAAAAUGGACGAGAAUGUUCUAAGCAGAGAAGAUAGUAGCUCCUGUUCAGAAACAGGCCAGCUGAGAGUGCACCGAAGUCCUGGCUGGCCAACCU